This 433-nucleotide ribosomal RNA is filed under the name uncultured bacterium. Its description in RNAcentral is "partial 16S ribosomal RNA". It matches the Rfam family "Bacterial small subunit ribosomal RNA", at positions 29 to 507 of the family's 1533-position model. The record is from RNAcentral.
AACGAACGCUGGCGGCAGGCCUAACACAUGCAAGUCGAGCGAGGACUUCGGUUCUAGCGGCGGACGGGUGAGUAACGCGUGGGAAUGUGCCCUUCUCUACGGAAUAGCCCUGGGAAACUGGGAGUAAUACCGUAUACGCCCUAUUGGGGAAAGAUUUAUCGGAGAAGGAUCAGCCCGCGUUGGAUUAGGUAGUUGGUGGGGUAAUGGCCUACCAAGCCGACGAUCCAUAGCUGGUUUGAGAGGAUGAUCAGCCACACUGGGACUGAGACACGGCCCAGACUCCUACGGGAGGCAGCAGUGGGGAAUCUUAGACAAUGGGGGCAACCCUGAUCUAGCCAUGCCGCGUGAGUGAUGAAGGCUUUAGGGUUGUAAAGCUCUUUCAGCUGGGAAGAUAAUGACGGUACCAGCAGAAGAAGCCCCGGCUAACUCCGUG